Molecule: transfer RNA, 77 nt
Filed under: Clostridia bacterium
Lineage: Bacteria; Bacillati; Bacillota; Clostridia
Description: tRNA-Thr
Rfam family: tRNA
About the family: Transfer RNA (tRNA) molecules are approximately 80 nucleotides in length. Their secondary structure includes four short double-helical elements and three loops (D, anti-codon, and T loops).
Source: RNAcentral
GCCUCAGUGGCCUAGCCCGGCAUAGCGGCUGAUUUGUAAUCAGCAGGUCGCGAGUUCAAAUCUCGCCUGAGGCUUCA